GCCAAGUUGACCUGACAGAAUCAAUCUACGGUCCCAGAUGGCCACAGUUCCUCCAUUACAUUGAUCCUGACUGCUCUGUAUCACAAGGCUCCAGAUUUUAUGUGAGAGAUACACACGCACACGCACACACAUCACCCAUACAUGCACACUGGAGACAGAAGGAGAUGGGAAGAGGAGAAAAGGCAGACAGAAACUUUGCAUCUGUCUCUCCCCGGAGUAAAUUAUCACCACUGAGCCCUCUAAGGACUCUACUACCCUGACCUCUGGCAAGAGAAGCUGCCACUGAGAUUGAUUGUCAGUCACACUCACCAGACACCUGGACAGAAUCAAUCUUCAAUAAAGUAGCG
Molecule: long non-coding RNA, 347 nt
Organism: Anguilla anguilla (European eel)
Lineage: Eukaryota; Metazoa; Chordata; Actinopteri; Anguilliformes; Anguillidae
Exons: 3
Source: RefSeq, a predicted model, not a curated record